RNAcentral lists this ribosomal RNA (253 nucleotides) under uncultured bacterium. RNAcentral's name for it is "partial 16S ribosomal RNA". It matches the Rfam family "Bacterial small subunit ribosomal RNA", at positions 524 to 776 of the family's 1533-position model. The record is from RNAcentral.
UACGGGGGGGGCAAGCGUUGUUCGGAAUUACUGGGCGUAAAGGGCUCGUAGGCGGCCAACUAAGUCGGAUGUGAAAUCCCCAGGCUCAACCUGGGAACUGCAUCCGAUACUGGAUGGCUUGAAUUCGGGAGAGGGAUGCAGAAUUCCAGGUGUAGCGGUGAAAUGCGUAGAUAUCAGGAGGAACACCGGUGGCGAAGGCGGUUCUCUGGGAAUGUCCUGACGCUGAGGAGCGAAAGUGUGGGGAGCGAACAGG